RNAcentral lists this ribosomal RNA (2900 nucleotides) under Klebsiella pneumoniae. RNAcentral describes it as "23S ribosomal RNA". It matches the Rfam family "Bacterial large subunit ribosomal RNA". Lineage: Bacteria; Pseudomonadati; Pseudomonadota; Gammaproteobacteria; Enterobacterales; Enterobacteriaceae. The record is from RNAcentral.
UUAAGCGACUAAGCGUACACGGUGGAUGCCCUGGCAGUCAGAGGCGAUGAAGGACGUGCUAAUCUGCGAAAAGCGUCGGUAAGGUGAUAUGAACCGUUACAGCCGGCGAUGUCCGAAUGGGGAAACCCAGUGUGAUUCGUCACACUAUCGUUAACUGAAUACAUAGGUUAACGAGGCGAACCGGGGGAACUGAAACAUCUAAGUACCCCGAGGAAAAGAAAUCAACCGAGAUUCCCCCAGUAGCGGCGAGCGAACGGGGAGCAGCCCAGAGUCUGAAUCAGCUUGUGUGUUAGUGGAACGGUCUGGAAAGUCCGACGGUACAGGGUGAUAGUCCCGUACACCAAAAUGCACAGGCUGUGAACUCGAAGAGUAGGGCGGGACACGUGGUAUCCUGUCUGAAUAUGGGGGGACCAUCCUCCAAGGCUAAAUACUCCUGACUGACCGAUAGUGAACCAGUACCGUGAGGGAAAGGCGAAAAGAACCCCGGCGAGGGGAGUGAAAAAGAACCUGAAACCGUGUACGUACAAGCAGUGGGAGCACCUUCGGGUGUGACUGCGUACCUUUUGUAUAAUGGGUCAGCGACUUAUAUUCUGUAGCAAGGUUAACCGUAUAGGGGAGCCGCAGGGAAACCGAGUCUUAACUGGGCGUUAAGUUGCAGGGUAUAGACCCGAAACCCGGUGAUCUAGCCAUGGGCAGGUUGAAGGUUGGGUAACACUAACUGGAGGACCGAACCGACUAAUGUUGAAAAAUUAGCGGAUGACUUGUGGCUGGGGGUGAAAGGCCAAUCAAACCGGGAGAUAGCUGGUUCUCCCCGAAAGCUAUUUAGGUAGCGCCUCGUGAACUCAUCUUCGGGGGUAGAGCACUGUUUCGGCUAGGGGGUCAUCCCGACUUACCAACCCGAUGCAAACUACGAAUACCGAAGAAUGUUAUCACGGGAGACACACGGCGGGUGCUAACGUCCGUCGUGAAGAGGGAAACAACCCAGACCGCCAGCUAAGGUCCCAAAGUCAUGGUUAAGUGGGAAACGAUGUGGGAAGGCACAGACAGCCAGGAUGUUGGCUUAGAAGCAGCCAUCAUUUAAAGAAAGCGUAAUAGCUCACUGGUCGAGUCGGCCUGCGCGGAAGAUGUAACGGGGCUAAACCAUGCACCGAAGCUGCGGCAGCGACACUAUGUGUUGUUGGGUAGGGGAGCGUUCUGUAAGCCUGCGAAGGUGACCUGUGAGGGUUGCUGGAGGUAUCAGAAGUGCGAAUGCUGACAUAAGUAACGAUAAAGCGGGUGAAAAGCCCGCUCGCCGGAAGACCAAGGGUUCCUGUCCAACGUUAAUCGGGGCAGGGUGAGUCGACCCCUAAGGCGAGGCCGAAAGGCGUAGUCGAUGGGAAACAGGUUAAUAUUCCUGUACUUGGUGUUACUGCGAAGGGGGGACGGAGAAGGCUAUGUUAGCCGGGCGACGGUUGUCCCGGUUUAAGCAUGUAGGCUGGUUAUCCAGGCAAAUCCGGAUAAUCAAGGCUGAGGUGUGAUGACGAGGCACUACGGUGCUGAAGUAACAAAUGCCCUGCUUCCAGGAAAAGCCUCUAAGCAUCAGGUAACAUUAAAUCGUACCCCAAACCGACACAGGUGGUCAGGUAGAGAAUACCAAGGCGCUUGAGAGAACUCGGGUGAAGGAACUAGGCAAAAUGGUGCCGUAACUUCGGGAGAAGGCACGCUGGUGUGUAGGUGAAGUCCCUGCGGAUGGAGCUGAGACCAGUCGAAGAUACCAGCUGGCUGCAACUGUUUAUUAAAAACACAGCACUGUGCAAACACGAAAGUGGACGUAUACGGUGUGACGCCUGCCCGGUGCCGGAAGGUUAAUUGAUGGGGUUAUCCGUAAGGAGAAGCUCUUGAUCGAAGCCCCGGUAAACGGCGGCCGUAACUAUAACGGUCCUAAGGUAGCGAAAUUCCUUGUCGGGUAAGUUCCGACCUGCACGAAUGGCGUAAUGAUGGCCAGGCUGUCUCCACCCGAGACUCAGUGAAAUUGAACUCGCUGUGAAGAUGCAGUGUACCCGCGGCAAGACGGAAAGACCCCGUGAACCUUUACUAUAGCUUGACACUGAACAUUGAGCCUUGAUGUGUAGGAUAGGUGGGAGGCUUUGAAGCGUGGACGCCAGUCUGCGUGGAGCCAACCUUGAAAUACCACCCUUUAAUGUUUGAUGUUCUAACGUUGGCCCCUUACCGGGGUUGCGGACAGUGUCUGGUGGGUAGUUUGACUGGGGCGGUCUCCUCCCAAAGCGUAACGGAGGAGCACGAAGGUUAGCUAAUCCUGGUCGGACAUCAGGAGGUUAGUGCAAUGGCAUAAGCUAGCUUGACUGCGAGCGUGACGGCGCGAGCAGGUGCGAAAGCAGGUCAUAGUGAUCCGGUGGUUCUGAAUGGAAGGGCCAUCGCUCAACGGAUAAAAGGUACUCCGGGGAUAACAGGCUGAUACCGCCCAAGAGUUCAUAUCGACGGCGGUGUUUGGCACCUCGAUGUCGGCUCAUCACAUCCUGGGGCUGAAGUAGGUCCCAAGGGUAUGGCUGUUCGCCAUUUAAAGUGGUACGCGAGCUGGGUUUAGAACGUCGUGAGACAGUUCGGUCCCUAUCUGCCGUGGGCGCUGGAGAAUUGAGGGGGGCUGCUCCUAGUACGAGAGGACCGGAGUGGACGCAUCACUGGUGUUCGGGUUGUCAUGCCAAUGGCACUGCCCGGUAGCUAAAUGCGGAAGAGAUAAGUGCUGAAAGCAUCUAAGCACGAAACUUGCCCCGAGAUGAGUUCUCCCUGAGACUUUAAGUCUCCUGAAGGAACGUUAAAGACGAUGACGUUGAUAGGCCGGGUGUGUAAGCGCAGCGAUGCGUUGAGCUAACCGGUACUAAUGAACCGUGAGGCUUAACCUU